Molecule: ribosomal RNA, 509 nt
Filed under: uncultured bacterium
Lineage: Bacteria
Description: bacterial SSU rRNA
Rfam family: Bacterial small subunit ribosomal RNA
Source: RNAcentral
GACGAACGCUGGCGGCGUGGAUUAGGCAUGCAAGUCGAACGGUAUCAUCCUUUCGGGGGUGAGAGAGUGGCGAACUGGUGAGUAACACGUAGGUUAUCUACCCUCAAGACGGGGACAACCCAGGGAAACUUGGGCUAAUACCGGAUGUGAGCAACUUUUAGUUGUUUGAAAGGCGGCGUAAGCUGUCGCUUGGGGAUGAGCCUGCGUCCUAUUAGUUAGUUGGUGAGGUAACGGCUCACCUAGGCAAUGAUAGGUAGGCGGCCUUAACGGGUGGUCGCCCACACUGGGAUUGAGAUACGGCCCAGACUCCUACGGGAGGCAGCAGUCGAGAAUAGUCUACAAUGGUCGGAAGACUGAUAGUGCGACGCCGCGUGAACGAUGAAUCCCUUCGGGGUGUAAAGUUCUUUUAUAUGUGAGCAGUGCUUCUUAUAUUAACAGUAUGGGGAGAGAGAUAUUAGCAUAUGAAUAAGCAACGGCUAACUCCGUGCCAGCCAGCCGCGGUAAAACGU